This 895-nucleotide ribosomal RNA is filed under the name uncultured bacterium. RNAcentral's name for it is "bacterial SSU rRNA". It matches the Rfam family "Bacterial small subunit ribosomal RNA", at positions 8 to 916 of the family's 1533-position model. The record is from RNAcentral.
AGAGUUUGAUCCUGGCUCAGGACGAACGCUGGCGGCGUGCUUAACACAUGCAAGUCGAACGGAAAGGCCCCUUUGGGGGUACUCGAGUGGCGAACGGGUGAGUAACACGUGAGUAACCUGCCCUUGACUUCGGGAUAACUUCAGGAAACUGGGGCUAAUACCGGAUAGGAAUCCUUGCUGCAUGGUGGGGGUUGGAAAGCUUCGGCGGUUUUGGAUGGACUCGCGGCUUAUCAGCUUGUUGGUGGGGUAGUGGCUUACCAAGGCUUUGACGGGUAGCCGGCCUGAGAGGGCGACCGGCCACAUUGGGACUGAGAUACGGCCCAGACUCCUACGGGAGGCAGCAGUGGGGAAUAUUGCACAAUGGGCGGAAGCCUGAUGCAGCAACGCCGCGUGCGGGAUGACGGCCUUCGGGUUGUAAACCGCUUUCAGCAGGGGCGAAGCUUUUGUGACGGUACCUGCAGAAGAAGCACCGGCUAACUACGUGCCAGCAGCCGCGGUGAUACGUAGGGUGCGAGCGUUGUCCGGAUUUAUUGGGCGUAAAGAGCUCGUAGGUGGUUGAUUGCGUCGGAAGUGAAAACUUGGGGCUUAACCCUGAGCGUGCUUUCGAUACGGGUUGACUUGAGGAAGGUAGGGGAGAAUGGAAUUCCUGGUGGAGCGGUGGAAUGCGCAGAUAUCAGGAGGAACACCAGUGGCGAAGGCGGUUCUCUGGACCUUUCCUGACGCUGAGGAGCGAAAGCGUGGGGAGCGAACAGGCUUAGAUACCCUGGUAGUCCACGCUGUAAACGGUGGGUACUAGGUGUGGGGUCCAUUCCACGGAUUCCGUGCCGUAGCUAACGCAUUAAGUACCCCGCCUGGGGAGUACGGCCGCAAGGCUAAAACUUAAAGGAAUUGACGG